This 81-nucleotide transfer RNA is filed under the name Pythium insidiosum. RNAcentral describes it as "tRNA-Ser". It matches the Rfam family "tRNA". From Rfam's summary of the family: Transfer RNA (tRNA) molecules are approximately 80 nucleotides in length. The record is from RNAcentral. Lineage: Eukaryota; Oomycota; Peronosporomycetes; Pythiales; Pythiaceae.
GACAGCUUGGCCGAGUGGUUAAGGCGAUGGACUUGAAAUCCAUUGGGGUAACCUGCGUGAGUUCAAAUCUCACAGCUGUCG